Molecule: long non-coding RNA, 1919 nt
Organism: Carassius auratus (goldfish)
Lineage: Eukaryota; Metazoa; Chordata; Actinopteri; Cypriniformes; Cyprinidae
Exons: 5
Source: RefSeq, a predicted model, not a curated record
AAAAUGCAAGUGCAGCGUUUUCAGAUUUAUUCAGUUUGGGACCCGGUUUAAAAAAAUAUCGGGUUUCACUCUCCCAAAAUGCUGGAUCCGUGUGGACGAAACACCUAUAUGAUACUAAAUUUAAGUGUAUACAGCCAAACACGUCUCUGUGUGGACGGGGCCUAACUUUCUCUACCAAGAAGUUUUAGAAGAGCUGGCCAAGCAGAAUGGAGUUCCCUCAUGUAUUUCUAACAUUACAGUGCACAAGGAAAUUGCACUUUUAAAUCCUCUCCUCGCAGUUCACUUUUCAUUCUUUCUUCGCCCUCUCUCCAUCUCUAAAACCCAUGACCUGGAGCAGAGAGCAGGGAUGAAACAAGACUCAAAACACUGGCUGGCUCUCUCUGUGUCAAUUAAAUGCUUGUGUGCUGAAAGAAGGAGAGAUAGAAAAACAGAAUUGAUUGACACUUUGGAGUUAAUCCCCAUAUCAAGGACUCCUGGAGAGACGGGAUACACUUAGAGCACAGGGGAUCAACGACGGGAGUGAAAGAGAACGAAAUCAAGGAAGGAAAGGAGAGAAGACGGAGGAAGGCUCCAGGGGGGAUGGACGCUGCUGUCCGUGCCUGAGGUGAAGGCCCCACGCUGGGCAGAGGAUGCAGCAGUGGUGGGGUUGGAGGUCUGGUGGUAUUGCUGGUGUCCUGCUGAACAAAAGGUUGAAGUUGAGACUCCUCUUUUGUCCUCACAUGUCACAACACCGUUAACCAGCAGCUGCUGCAGAAAGGCCUCAUGGGAAGGCCUCCCCUAUACCUGUGCUAAAAGCUUUUCCUUCAGUUAAAGUGAAGGAGAAGAAAGGAAAGAAAGGGAGAAAGAAAACAAAAACAGAGGAAAUCAAGGGAACAGACCCUUGGGCAGACACUUUUUUCCCCUCGUUCAAAGGAUCCGCCGGAUCAGCCGGAGACUUCAUGUGAAACCUGAUAAUGUCAGUGGUCAUAGAAGCAUUUACAGGUGGCAUACACAUUACUCUCUGUCACUUUUCCUCGCUCCCCACCCCCCUCUCCUUCUGCGAGACAGAAAAUCACAAAUGCUUUUCUUUCCCUCGGGAAGACUUUGUUCUGAAGUGCUCUGGGAUCAUUGUUGUGGCUCUCCUUCAAGCAUGUUUCAUUUUUAAACAGUUUCCUCUCUGUGAUCUCAGAUCUGCUCCUCUCUCUGAGAAGGCCGAUAAACAGACAAACUAUUUAACCGGCGCAAGACAAGAGAUUUUUAGAAUGAUCGCAAGUCAAAGCCAUAUGUUCUCCACUCUCUUUCUCUCCCUCUCGCUAAUGAGUGUAUUUCUCAGCUCCUCGGCGGAUUAGGCUCGCAAAGAAAGAGCGGAGGAAAGAAAAGAUCCAAUUGAGAGACGGCGAGGUCCGCCGAGCUCAAUGGAAGAGAAAAGCGGGCGAGAAAAAGGGGCAGAGAGGUAGAAUGGCAUGAUCUGCAGGGGGCAGACCCUCACUCCAGGACCUUCCUCUCUUUCUGUCGUCUCUUUUCCCCCCUGUCCUCCUCCGCUCUGCCUUUGGGAUUCGAAUGCAGUCUCAUUAGUUUUUAUUGGAUUGAAAUGUUUCGCGAGGUCUGCGCUCACGUAGAGUUUGGUGGUGGGAUUCGAGAGGCUAAGAGUGCGCCAAAUAAGUUGUAUCCUUUUGCCUUUCUAUAGCUCGGCUUUUCACAAGCUCAUUCCCAUCCCUCCUUCUGCGCCCGCUAAUUGUGCUGUCGUCUUCACGCUUCAGUUUGCGGUGAAACUGCUUAGAAGUUCAAAUAAAGGAGCCGUUUUCUCUCUCUGCACACUUCAGUUCUCUGUUCGUGCUUUUCUGAGCGCAAAUUGAUGUGUUUGACUCUCAUGAGAGACUAAGGGAAUGGGGACACAUUUUAAAUAUUUAUUUAUGUCCAGCUUAUUAAGACAAUGCAAA